CUACGGGUUGCACCAGUGGGGAAUAUUGCACAAUGGGCGAAAGCCUGAUGCAGCAACGCCGCGUGAGCGAUGAAGGCCUUCGGGUCGUAAAGCUCUGUCCUUAAGGAAGAAUUUUGACGGUACUUGAGGAGGAAGCCCCGGCUAACUACGUGCCAGCAGCCGCGGUAAUACGUAGGGGGCUAGCGUUAUCCGGAAUUACGGGGCGUAAAGGGUGCGUAGGUGGUCUGACAAGUCAGGGGUGAAAGGCUACGGCUCAACCGUAGUAAGCCCUUGAAACUGUCGGACUUGAGUGCAGGAGAGGAAAGUGGAAUUCCCAGUGUAGCGGUGAAAUGCGUAGAUAUUGGGAGGAACAUCAGUGGCGAAGGCGACUUUCUGGACUGUAACUGACACUGAGGCACGAAAGCGUGGGGAGCAAACGGGAUUAGAUACCCUCGUAGUC
This 439-nucleotide ribosomal RNA is filed under the name uncultured bacterium. Its description in RNAcentral is "partial 16S ribosomal RNA". It matches the Rfam family "Bacterial small subunit ribosomal RNA", at positions 339 to 795 of the family's 1533-position model. The record is from RNAcentral.